RNAcentral lists this ribosomal RNA (1133 nucleotides) under uncultured bacterium. RNAcentral describes it as "bacterial SSU rRNA". It matches the Rfam family "Bacterial small subunit ribosomal RNA", at positions 40 to 1182 of the family's 1533-position model. The record is from RNAcentral.
CGGCGUGCUUAACACAUGCAAGUCGAACGGGAUCCAUCAAGCUUGCUUGGUGGUGAGAGUGGCGAACGGGUGAGUAAUGCGUGACCAACCUGCCCUGUACUCUGGAAUAGCUCCUGGAAACGGGUGGUAAUGCCGGAUGCUCCACAUGGGUGCAUGCCUGUGUGGGAAAGGGUUUACCGGUAUGGGAUGGGGUCGCGUCCUAUCAGCUUGACGGCGGGGUAAUGGCCCACCGUGGCUUUGACGGGUAGCCGGCCUGAGAGGGCGACCGGCCACAUUGGGACUGAGAUACGGCCCAGACUCCUACGGGAGGCAGCAGUGGGGAAUAUUGCACAAUGGGGGGAACCCUGAUGCAGCGACGCCGCGUGCGGGAUGACGGCCUUCGGGUUGUAAACCGCUUUUGAUUGGGAGCAAGCGUUAAGUGAGUGUACCUUUCGAAUAAGCGCCGGCUAACUACGUGCCAGCAGCCGCGGUAAUACGUAGGGCGCAAGCGUUGUCCGGAAUUAUUGGGCGUAAAGGGCUCGUAGGCGGCUCGUCGCGUCUGGUGUGAAAGUCCAUCGCUUAACGGUGGAUCUGCGCCGGGUACGGGCGGGCUGGAGUGCGGUAGGGGAGACUGGAAUUCCCGGUGUAACGGUGGAAUGUGUAGAUAUCGGGAGGAACACCAAUGGCGAAGGCAGGUCUCUGGGCCGUUACUGACGCUGAGGAGCGAAAGCGUGGGGAGCGAACAGGAUUAGAUACCCUGGUAGUCCACGCCGUAAACGGUGGACGCUGGAUGUGGGGCCCAUUCCACGGGUUCCGUGUCGGAGCUAACGCGUUAAGCGUCCCGCCUGGGGAGUACGGCCGCAAGGCUAAAACUCAAAGAAAUUGACGGGGGCCCGCACAAGCGGCGGAGCAUGCGGAUUAAUUCGAUGCAACGCGAAGAACCUUACCUGGGCUUGACAUGUUCCCGGCGACAUCAGAGAUGGUGUUUCCCUUCGGGGCGGGUUCACAGGUGGUGCAUGGUCGUCGUCAGCUCGUGUCGUGAGAUGUUGGGUUAAGUCCCGCAACGAGCGCAACCCUCGCCCCGUGUUGCCAGCACGUCAUGGUGGGAACUCACGGGGGACCGCCGGGGUUAACUCGGAGGAAGGUGGGGAUGA